UAAUACUGGAUACGAGUAGCGACCGCAUGGUCAGUUACUGGAAAGAUUUAUUGGUUGGGGAUGGGCUCGCGGCCUAUCAGCUUGUUGGUGAGGUAAUGGCUCACCAAGGCGUCGACGGGUAGCCGGCCUGAGAGGGUGACCGGCCACACUGGGACUGAGACACGGCCCAGACUCCUACGGGAGGCAGCAGUGGGGAAUAUUGCACAAUGGGCGCAAGCCUGAUGCAGCAACGCCGCGUGAGGGAUGACGGCCUUCGGGUUGUAAACCUCUUUUAGCAGGGAAGAAGCGAAAGUGACGGUACCUGCAGAAAAAUUUUCUUUUUAACUACGUGCCAGCAGCCGCGGUAAUACGUAUGGCGCAAGCGUUAUCCGGAAUUAUUGGGCGUAAAGAGCUCGUAGGCGGUUUGUCGCGUCUGCUGUGAAAUCCGGAGGCUCAACCUCCGGCCUGCAGUGGGUACGGGCAGACUAGAGUGCGGUAGGGGAGAUUGGAAUUCCUGGUGUAGCGGUGGAAUGCGCAGAUAUCAGGAGGAACACCGAUGGCG
Molecule: ribosomal RNA, 541 nt
Filed under: Microbacterium sp.
Lineage: Bacteria; Bacillati; Actinomycetota; Actinomycetes; Micrococcales; Microbacteriaceae
Description: bacterial SSU rRNA
Rfam family: Bacterial small subunit ribosomal RNA
Source: RNAcentral